GACAGCGAGGGAAGUACUGUCUAAACUCUUUAGACCAAUUUUUUUAAACAAAUUUUCUGACAUCUGUGUACCAAAAAAUCCCCUGACUUUAAGCCAUGGUAUUUAAAUGACGUUCAGAUUUGUAGUAGCUCAGAUUAAAGUUUGCCACUGGUUCAAUAUGAAGGUCCUCGUAACAUUUCUGUCAGUUAUACUUCUUUUCAACAUCAUUUUGGGCGCCGUAAGUGCUAUCCCAAUCGACGAACACUAUGAAACGUAUGCUUUGGUACGAAAACUGAGACCGAAAAGAGAAGAAAAAACUUGUCACAUUCUUAACAAGUCGGGAAAGCCAAUCACAGAGUCUGAGUGCGAUUUAGUUUGUUGGUCACAAGAAUUCCAAGUUGGGAGAUGUAGGGGUAACGCUUGUUACUGCAGCAAUAAGUAAAUUGAUAAAAAAUAGAUAUAUUUUUAAAAUAUGUAAUGUCGAGGAUGAUAAAUAAAUAAAUAUGAACCAAAA
Molecule: long non-coding RNA, 493 nt
Organism: Zophobas morio
Lineage: Eukaryota; Metazoa; Arthropoda; Insecta; Coleoptera; Tenebrionidae
Exons: 2
Source: RefSeq, a predicted model, not a curated record